GCUUACGGCCAUACCAGCCUGGGUACGCCCGAUCUCGUCUGAUCUCGGAAGCGAAGCAGAGUCGGGACUUGUUAGUACUUGGAUGGGAGACCGCCUGGGAAUACCAGGUGCUGUAAGCA
This 119-nucleotide ribosomal RNA is filed under the name Salmo salar (Atlantic salmon). Lineage: Eukaryota; Metazoa; Chordata; Actinopteri; Salmoniformes; Salmonidae. The record is from RNAcentral.